RNAcentral lists this transfer RNA (75 nucleotides) under Methylocystaceae bacterium. Its description in RNAcentral is "tRNA-Gln". It matches the Rfam family "tRNA". From Rfam's summary of the family: Transfer RNA (tRNA) molecules are approximately 80 nucleotides in length. Their secondary structure includes four short double-helical elements and three loops (D, anti-codon, and T loops). The record is from RNAcentral. Lineage: Bacteria; Pseudomonadati; Pseudomonadota; Alphaproteobacteria; Hyphomicrobiales; Methylocystaceae.
UGGGGCAUCGCCAAGCGGUAAGGCACUGCUUUUUGGUAGCAGCAUCCCCAGGUUCGAAUCCUGGUGCCCCAGCCA